This 301-nucleotide unclassified non-coding RNA is filed under the name uncultured Ichthyosporea. Its description in RNAcentral is "sequence contains 5.8S rRNA gene, ITS2, 28S rRNA gene". The record is from RNAcentral. Lineage: Eukaryota; Ichthyosporea.
AACGCAAAUUGCGCUGUUGGGCAUUCCCGACAGCAUGCUUGGCUGAGUAUCAUCUGGACAAAUCGAUCGCGUUUUUUGUGAUCGGAUAUGAGGAUUCUUGUCGCAGCCACUCUUGAUUGCGUCCCUUCAAGUCUAGUAUGGUAUUGGCAAUGUAUUUGCUGGUCAAAUGCGAAUUCAAUGUCUUUGCCGUUCAGUGUGUUACGUGUUUCAAACACAAAAGCACUGGACAAUACGGCAACCUAUUGACGUUCGCACCCAAAACUUUGAUCUCAGCUCAAGCAAGACUACCCGCUGAAUUUAA